GAGGGUAUAGCUCAAGUGGUAGAGCCCAUGCUUAGCAUGCACAAGGUCCUGGGUUCAAUUCCCACUACCUUCU
This is a transfer RNA of Camelus ferus (Wild Bactrian camel), 73 nucleotides long. It matches the Rfam family "tRNA". Rfam says of the family: Transfer RNA (tRNA) molecules are approximately 80 nucleotides in length. Their secondary structure includes four short double-helical elements and three loops (D, anti-codon, and T loops). The record is from Rfam. NCBI's taxonomy places the organism in Eukaryota, Metazoa, Chordata, Mammalia, Artiodactyla, Camelidae.